CUGGCUCAGGAUGAACGCGGGCGGCGUGCCUAAUACAUGCAAGUCGAACGAGGUGCUUUGUAGCAAUACGAAGUAUCCUAGUGGCGAACGGGUGAGUAACGCGUUGGUGACCUACCCCAAAGUGUGGGAUAACAGUCCGAAAGGAUUGCUAAUACCGCAUGUGGUCUCUGGAUUUAGAAACCGGUGACUAAAGGAGCAAUUCGCUUUGGGAGGGACCUGCGUCCCAUCAGCUAGUUGGUGAGGUAACGGCUCACCAAGGCGACGACGGGUAGGGGACCUGAGAGGGUGACCCCCCACAAUGGAACUGAAACACGGUCCAUACACCUACGGGUGGCAGCAGUAGGGAAUAUUGGUCAAUGGGCGAAAGCCUGAACCAGCAACGCCGCGUGUGCGAUGAAGGCCUUCGGGUCGUAAAGCACUUUUCUGGGAGAUGAGAAAGGACAGUAUCCCAGGAAUAAGUCUCGGCUAACUACGUGCCAGCAGCCGCGGUAAAACGUAGGAGGCGAGCGUUAUCCGGAUUCACUGGGCGUAAAGCGCGUGCAGGUGGCUUGGUAAGUUAGGCGUGAAAUCUCCCGGCUCAACUGGGAGAGGUCGUCUAAUACUACCGGGCUUGAGAGCAGAAGAGGAAGAUGGAAUUCCCGGUGUAGUGGUGAAAUGCGUAGAUAUCGGGAGGAACACCAGUGGCGAAGGCGAUCUUCUGGUCUGUUUCUGACACUCAGACGCGACAGCUAGGGUAGUAAACGGGAUUAGAGACCCCGGUAAUCCUAGCCGUAAACGAUGUAAACUUGGCGUUGGUGGGUUAAACUCCAUCAGUGCCGCAGCAAACGCGAUAAGUUUACCGCCUGGGGACUACGGC
Molecule: ribosomal RNA, 856 nt
Filed under: uncultured bacterium
Lineage: Bacteria
Description: bacterial SSU rRNA
Rfam family: Bacterial small subunit ribosomal RNA
Source: RNAcentral